Molecule: ribosomal RNA, 465 nt
Filed under: Vreelandella stevensii
Lineage: Bacteria; Pseudomonadati; Pseudomonadota; Gammaproteobacteria; Oceanospirillales; Halomonadaceae
Description: partial 16S ribosomal RNA
Rfam family: Bacterial small subunit ribosomal RNA
Source: RNAcentral
CCUACGGGUGGCAUCAGUGGGGAAUAUUGGACAAUGGGGGGAACCCUGAUCCAGCCAUGCCGCGUGUGUGAAGAAGGCCCUCGGGUUGUAAAGCACUUUCAGUGAGGAAGAACGCCUGGUGGUUAAUACCCAUCAGGAAAGACAUCACUCACAGAAGAAGCACCGGCUAACUCCGUGCCAGCAGCCGCGGUAAUACGGAGGGUGCGAGCGUUAAUCGGAAUUACUGGGCGUAAAGCGCGCGUAGGUGGCUUGAUAAGCCGGUUGUGAAAGCCCCGGGCUCAACCUGGGAACGGCAUCCGGAACUGUCAAGCUAGAGUGCAGGAGAGGAAGGUAGAAUUCCCGGUGUAGCGGUGAAAUGCGUAGAGAUCGGGAGGAAUACCAGUGGCGAAGGCGGCCUUCUGGACUGACACUGACACUGAGGUGCGAAAGCGUGGGUAGCAAACAGGAUUAGAUACCCUUGUAGUC